GGGGAUAUAGCUCAGUUGGUAGAACGCUUGCCUUAAAUGCAAGUCACAGUUAAUAUUUCCCCA
This 63-nucleotide transfer RNA is filed under the name Ictidomys tridecemlineatus (thirteen-lined ground squirrel). RNAcentral's name for it is "Spermophilus tridecemlineatus (thirteen-lined ground squirrel) tRNA". It matches the Rfam family "tRNA". From Rfam's summary of the family: Transfer RNA (tRNA) molecules are approximately 80 nucleotides in length. Their secondary structure includes four short double-helical elements and three loops (D, anti-codon, and T loops). The record is from Rfam by way of RNAcentral. Lineage: Eukaryota; Metazoa; Chordata; Mammalia; Rodentia; Sciuridae.